RNAcentral lists this long non-coding RNA (3235 nucleotides) under Sus scrofa (pig). RNAcentral describes it as "lncRNA (ENSSSCG00015038025.1)". Lineage: Eukaryota; Metazoa; Chordata; Mammalia; Artiodactyla; Suidae. The record is from RNAcentral.
CACGAUAGGAACUCCUCAUGAAUAUUUUACUUUCUGAAUCUUCUUUAAAUUGGUCACUUUAUGCCCAUUUCCACUGUUGCUUCUCAAGUUCUGGCCCUCAUUACCUCUGUUUCUGUAAUAUAAUAGCUUUCUUACUAGUUUUAGUCUCUAGUAUGACUUAAAUAAGUCAUUUUAAUCCAUCUUUCCUCUGUGACCCAAGUAAACUUUCCGAAACAUAACUGUACCGUUCAUUCCUCUGCUUACCAUUCACCUGCAGAAUAAGGUCCGCCGCCGCCCUUUGUGAUGUGGCACCUGUCUGCGUGCUGAAGGCCCAUUUCCAACCAGAGCCGCCCCCCCACCCCCCCCCCCCCGCCCCAGUGUGCCCUCUGCGUGCUCACACGGUGCCACGUGCGAGUUAUCCCCAGAGGCUGUGCUGUGCUCAGUGUUGCUUACGCAUGCUCCUCCUCCUGUCUGGAAGGUCCUGUGCCAAUGUCGAUCAGCUAGAACCUCCUCCUCCUGGCCACGGCUGAGCCUUUAUUCAUCAGCCUGGGCUGAACUUCCGUGCCCCAGUUGUACUUUCUGCAUCUCCGUUGCUGCGUCAGUGAUGAUUCUAUGUGUCCCACUAGACUGUACGUUCCUUGAUAGCCUCAUACUGUGUCCAGUGUUUAGAACAGGGCCAGUCACCACAAGGUGUUCUGUAAGUAAAUAUUUACCAAAUGAAUGGGAUUUUAACUAGGCAGUUUUGUCAGGAAGGGUGCCAGUGCUUAACUUGCAUGAAGAGGUCAUCUGAUCCCACUUCUGUUGUGUCAAAUGUCUGUUUCUGGUUUUUUCCCCCAUACUUAGUACAUUGCUGAAUUUUAGCUUUAUUUUUUAAAUGAUUUUUAUUUUUUUCAUUAUAGUGGGUUUAUAGUGUUCUGUCAAUUUCCACUGUACAGCAGAGUGACCCAGUCACGCGUGUGUAUAUACCUUCUUCUCCUCACGUUGUCCUCCAUCAUGUUCCAUCCUAAGUGACUAGAUAGAGUUCCCUGUGCGGCGCUGUAGGAUCUCAUGGCUUAUCCACUCCACAGGCAAUAGUUUGCAUCUGUUAACCCCAGACUCCCAGUCCCUCCCAGCUUUCCUGUUGAAAUUGGGUGACCAAAUGAAGGGGAUGGGGUAGGAAAAAUAUCAGCUGUCCUUUGGCAAAGUUCAUGGUGUACACACUGUGGAACUAGACUGAAGAAAUGGUCUUAAUCUGUUUAUUUUUUGAGUUUGGAUCCUAGUCACUCCUUGGAAGAUAAUCCCUCUGAAAACAUUAUCAGUUCCUCAAUUUUAAUAAGAUUAACUAUCUUAGUUUUUUCAUACCAAGUACCUUUCUUGGGCAGGUGACUCUCCUACCACUUGACAUAGAAACUGUGAUCCAUGGAGUUCCCUCUGCUCAACCCCUAGCCUGGGAGUUUCCAUAUGCUGUGGGCACGGCCCUAAAAAAAAAAAAAAGGAGUUCCUGUCAUGGCUCAGGGGAAACAAAUCUGAGUAGUAUCCAUGAGGUUGCACGUUCGAUCACUGGCCUCACUCAGUGGGUCAAGGAUCCAGCGUUGCUGUGAGCUGUGGUGUAGGUCACAGACACAGCUCAGGUCUGAACAUUGCUGUGGCUGUGGUGUAGGCCCGUGGCUGCAGCUCCAGUUUGACUCUAGCUUGGGAACCUACAUGUGCCGCCAGUGUGGCCCUAAAAAGAUGAAAGAAGGAAUGAAAGAAAGGAGUGGGUGAGGGAUAGGGGGUGGGGAAGGAAGGAAAAGAAAAGAAGGAAGAAGGAAAAGAAAGGAAGGAAGAAGGAAAGAAAGGACGAAACAGUGACCCAUGAGUCUAGCCAAAAAAAAAAAAAAGACGGUCAUAAAUCUGCCCUCCUACAUUAACCCUGACAGUAUAUGCUCUUCUUUUUUCUUUCCUUUUUUUUUUUUUUGAUUUAGUAUAUAAAAGAAUUCAAUGUCUAUAAAUCUUGUCUCCUAUUCCUGAAAACUUAGUGGUUUAAAACAGUGCAGAUUUUUUUCUCUCACACUCCUGCAGGUCGGAAGUUCAGGUGGAAUGAGCUGGUUCCUCUGCUCUAGGUCUCUGCAGGCUGAGCCAGGUGUCAGCUGGCCUGGGCUAUGGGGACAGAUCUACUCCCAGACCCAUCCGAUUGUGACCAAGACUCGUUGCUUGUAGCUGUGGCCUUGCUGUUGUUUUGUCCGGGCCUCUCUCAGAUGCUUGAAGCCUCUUGGGUUCCUCCUCUGCAUCCUUCAUCUUUAAACCAGCAAUAGUGCAUUGAGUCCUCACACUUCACAUACCUCUUCCUCCCUCUACCACAUCUGUUCUACCUCUAUCCAGAGAAAGUCCUCUGCUUUUAAGGGUUCUUGCCAUUAGAUGAGACCCACGAGGAUAUUCCAGGGUAAUAUCUAAACUAAAGUCUGUAUAACCUUAACUACAUCUGCUAAGUCCGUUUGCCAUGAAACAUAGGAAAUUUCAGGUUUGUAUAUUUCAGGUUCUGGAGCCUAGGAUCUGACAUCUUAAGGAGUCAUUCUGCCUACCACACUAUCUAUGCAAAGUAAUUUGUAAACCCCAAAGUGUUCAGAGUUCCCAUCUAGCAGUCCCUUGACUUGGCAUGAAAUAAAUAUUAACCUAGAAACUUAAAAUGGAAAUUUUGAUGUGCAGUUGUCCCUCAGUACCCAUGACAGAUUGGUUCCGGGACUCAGCCCAGACACCAAAAUCUUGAGCUGCUCAAGUCUCAUAGUCAGCCCUCCGUGUGCACAGAUGCAGAACCUGGAAAACGGAGGGCUAUGUAUUUACCGGGGAAAAAAAAUCCAUAUAUUAAGUGAUCCCAUGUUGUUCAAGGGUCAACUGUAUUCUGAAAGUAAAGCAUGGAGACCUUUUUACGAGUGGCAGAUGCGCACAUGUUGAGAAUCUAAGCAUGACUACAGGUCCUUCGAACCAAGGUAGUAUAGUAUACAUUAAUACCAAAGUCAUAUUUGUUUAUUUAUUUGUUUGUUUGUCUUUUAGGGCCACACCUCUGGCAUAUGGAAGUUCCCAGACUAGGGGUCGAAUCGGAGCUACAGCGGUCGGCCUACACCACAGUCACAGCAACGCCAGAUCCAAGCUACAACUGUGACCUACACCACAACUCACGACAGUGCCAGCUCCUUAACCAACACUGAGUGAGGCCAGGGAUCAAACCCGAGUCCUCAUGGAUUCUAGUCGGGUUCUUAACCCACUGAGCCAUGACGGGAGUUCCUCUCCUUUUUUUAGA